Molecule: ribosomal RNA, 1711 nt
Filed under: Escherichia coli
Lineage: Bacteria; Pseudomonadati; Pseudomonadota; Gammaproteobacteria; Enterobacterales; Enterobacteriaceae
Description: partial 23S ribosomal RNA
Rfam family: Bacterial large subunit ribosomal RNA
Source: RNAcentral
GCGCGCGAUACAGGGUGACAGCCCCGUACACAAAAAUGCACAUAUUGUGAGCUCGAUGAGUAGGGCGGGACACGUGGUAUCCUGUCUGAAUAUGGGGGGACCAUCCUCCAAGGCUAAAUACUCCUGACUGACCGAUAGUGAACCAGUACCGUGAGGGAAAGGCGAAAAGAACCCCGGCGAGGGGAGUGAAAAAGAACCUGAAACCGUGUACGUACAAGCAGUGGGAGCCUCUUAAUGGGGUGACUGCGUACCUUUUGUAUAAUGGGUCAGCGACUUAUAUUCUGUAGCAAGGUUAACCGAAUAGGGGAGCCGAAGGGAAACCGAGUCUUAACUGGGCGUUAAGUUGCAGGGUAUAGACCCGAAACCCGGUGAUCUAGCCAUGGGCAGGUUGAAGGUUGGGUAACACUAACUGGAGGACCGAACCGACUAAUGUUGAAAAAUUAGCGGAUGACUUGUGGCUGGGGGUGAAAGGCCAAUCAAACCGGGAGAUAGCUGGUUCUCCCCGAAAGCUAUUUAGGUAGCGCCUCGUGAAUUCAUCUCCGGGGGUAGAGCACUGUUUCGGCAAGGGGGUCAUCCCGACUUACCAACCCGAUGCAAACUGCGAAUACCGGAGAAUGUUAUCACGGGAGACACACGGCGGGUGCUAACGUCCGUCGUGAAGAGGGAAACAACCCAGACCGCCAGCUAAGGUCCCAAAGUCAUGGUUAAGUGGGAAACGAUGUGGGAAGGCCCAGACAGCCAGGAUGUUGGCUUAGAAGCAGCCAUCAUUUAAAGAAAGCGUAAUAGCUCACUGGUCGAGUCGGCCUGCGCGGAAGAUGUAACGGGGCUAAACCAUGCACCGAAGCUGCGGCAGCGACACUAUGUGUUGUUGGGUAGGGGAGCGUUCUGUAAGCCUGUGAAGGUGGCCUGUGAGGGUUGCUGGAGGUAUCAGAAGUGCGAAUGCUGACAUAAGUAACGAUAAAGCGGGUGAAAAGCCCGCUCGCCGGAAGACCAAGGGUUCCUGUCCAACGUUAAUCGGGGCAGGGUGAGUCGACCCCUAAGGCGAGGCCGAAAGGCGUAGUCGAUGGGAAACAGGUUAAUAUUCCUGUACUUGGUGUUACUGCGAAGGGGGGACGGAGAAGGCUAUGUUGGCCGGGCGACGGUUGUCCCGGUUUAAGCGUGUAGGCUGGUUUUCCAGGCAAAUCCGGAAAACCAAGGCUGAGGCGUGAUGACGAGGCACUACGGUGCUGAAGCGACAAAUGCCCUGCUUCCAGGAAAAGCCUCUAAGCAUCAGGUAACAUCAAAUCGUACCCCAAACCGACACAGGUGGUCAGGUAGAGAAUACCAAGGCGCUUGAGAGAACUCGGGUGAAGGAACUAGGCAAAAUGGUGCCGUAACUUCGGGAGAAGGCACGCUGAUAUGUAGGUGAAGCGACUUGCUCGUGGAGCUGAAAUCAGUCGAAGAUACCAGCUGGCUGCAACUGUUUAUUAAAAACACAGCACUGUGCAAACACGAAAGUGGACGUAUACGGUGUGACGCCUGCCCGGUGCCGGAAGGUUAAUUGAUGGGGUUAGCGGCAACGCGAAGCUCUUGAUCGAAGCCCCGGUAAACGGCGGCCGUAACUAUAACGGUCCUAAGGUAGCGAAAUUCCUUGUCGGGUAAGUUCCGACCUGCACGAAUGGCGUAAUGAUGGCCAGGCUGUCUCCACCCGAGACUCAGUGAAAUUGAACUC